RNAcentral lists this ribosomal RNA (419 nucleotides) under uncultured soil bacterium. RNAcentral describes it as "bacterial SSU rRNA". It matches the Rfam family "Bacterial small subunit ribosomal RNA", at positions 26 to 479 of the family's 1533-position model. The record is from RNAcentral.
AGAACGAACGCUGGCGGCAUGCCUAAUACAUGCAAGUCGAACGAACUCUUCGGAGUUAGUGGCGCACGGGUGCGUAACGCGUGUGAGUCUGCCCCUUGGUUCGGAAUAACAGUUGGAAACGACUGCUAAUACCGGAUGAUGACGAAAGUCCAAAGAUUUAUCGCCAAGGGAUGAGCCCGCGUAGGAUUAGCUAGUUGGUGAGGUAAAGGCUCACCAAGGCAACGAUCCUUAGCUGGUCUGAGAGGAUGAUCAGCCACACUGGGACUGAGACACGGCCCAGACUCCUACGGGAGGCAGCAGUAGGGAAUAGUUAGGACAAGUGGGACGAAAGCCUAGAUCCAGCAAUGCCGCGUGAGUGAUGAAGGCUUAAGGAUUAGUAAAGUCUACCUUUUACCGAGUAUGAAUAAGUGACAGUACGU